RNAcentral lists this ribosomal RNA (254 nucleotides) under uncultured bacterium. RNAcentral's name for it is "partial 16S ribosomal RNA". It matches the Rfam family "Bacterial small subunit ribosomal RNA", at positions 524 to 776 of the family's 1533-position model. The record is from RNAcentral.
UACGUAGGGAGCGAGCGUUGUCCGGAUUUAUUGGGCGUAAAGCGCGCGUAGGCGGUUUGGUAAGCCGGGUGUGAAACCCUCGAGCUCAACUCGGGGCGGCCACUCGGAACUGCUAUGACUUGAGUCUGGUAGGGGAACACGGAAUACCUGGUGUAGCGGUGAAAUGCUUAGAUAUCAGGUGGAACACCAGUGGCGAAGGCGGUGUUCUGGGCCAGUACUGACGCUGAGGCGCGAAAGCGUGGGGAGCGAACAGG